UACGGAGGGGACUAGCGUUGUUCGGAAUUACUGGGCGUAAAGCGCACGUAGGCGGAUUUGUAAGUUAGAGGUGAAAGCCCGGGGCUCAACUCCGGAACUGCCUUUAAGACUGCAUCGCUUGAACAUCGGAGAGGUAAGUGGAAUUCCGAGUGUAGAGGUGAAAUGCGUAGAGAUCGGGAGGAACACCUGUGGCGAAGGCGGCCGACUGGGCCGACCCUGACGCUGAGGCGCGAAGGCGUGGGGAGCGAACGGG
RNAcentral lists this ribosomal RNA (253 nucleotides) under uncultured bacterium. RNAcentral describes it as "partial 16S ribosomal RNA". It matches the Rfam family "Bacterial small subunit ribosomal RNA", at positions 524 to 776 of the family's 1533-position model. The record is from RNAcentral.